Molecule: transfer RNA, 91 nt
Filed under: Actinomadura coerulea
Lineage: Bacteria; Bacillati; Actinomycetota; Actinomycetes; Streptosporangiales; Thermomonosporaceae
Description: tRNA-Leu
Source: RNAcentral
CGGCCAGCCGGGGGCGGACCCCCGCGAUGAUCAGUGCGGCGAUGACGACCGCGGCCGCCGGCGGCACCGCGUUCCAGCCGCGCAGGCCGCC